Carassius auratus (goldfish) is the source of this 350-nucleotide long non-coding RNA. RefSeq lists it as uncharacterized. The transcript is spliced from 4 exons. The record is from RefSeq and is a predicted model, not a curated record. NCBI's taxonomy places the organism in Eukaryota, Metazoa, Chordata, Actinopteri, Cypriniformes, Cyprinidae.
UGUUGUUUAUAUUAGUUUGCUGGAUGAUCGCGUGCUGCACGUAGUAACGGUCGCAGCAUCCCCGCCCGCCCUGGAGUUGAGCACGGAUCGUGAAGCGCAGGUUUUGUUCAGCAGAGGAUUUGGAGCGAGUGCAGCGGAGGACGCAGAAGAGCCGUCGCCAUGUGCAUUUGACAAAUACCCGGGGGCCGUAUGGGCGAGCUGAUGAGGAUGACGAUGGUGAGUGAGCUCUUGCUGUAGAGUCUGAUGGUUUGGUAAUAAUGGACGUCCCAAAUGGCCAGCCCAGUGUCUCCACCUUCACGACCCCGGCCUCAGAGAGGAGCAGCAGUUCUGAGUCGCUCAGUGAGAAGGGC